Molecule: ribosomal RNA, 253 nt
Filed under: uncultured prokaryote
Description: partial 16S ribosomal RNA
Rfam family: Bacterial small subunit ribosomal RNA
Source: RNAcentral
UACGAGAGGCCCAAACGUUAUUCGGAAUUACUGGGCGUAAAGCGCGUGCAGGCGGUCCAUUAAGUCGUAUGUGAAAGCCCUCAGCUCAACUGAGGAACGACGUACGAAACUGAUAGACUUGAGUACGGGAGAGGGAUGCAGAAUUCCAGGUGUAGCGGUGAAAUGCGUAGAUAUCUGGAGGAAUACCGGUGGCGAAGGCGGCAUCCUGGACCGAGAUUGACACUGAUGAGCGAAAGCCAGGGGAGCAAACGGG